Molecule: long non-coding RNA, 1967 nt
Organism: Bombina bombina (fire-bellied toad)
Lineage: Eukaryota; Metazoa; Chordata; Amphibia; Anura; Bombinatoridae
Exons: 2
Source: RefSeq, a predicted model, not a curated record
AUCAACAGUGCUGAGGUCAUGAUUUCACUUAACUCUCAUGAGAUUUCGUAGUAAACUUCCUUAAACUGAAUAGGGAAAUAACAUGAAGCUCAACCCCUUAGCUGUCCCUUUACAAUGGGAUAUGGCUACUGAGGAACUUUUGAGGUAAAAUAUCUUUCUUUUUUACUUAGAGAUGUUCAGGUGAUAUUUUCUAGUCAGCUGUUUACAGCUAUGCUGCAUCACUUUCAAGUGUUUCAACAUUUUGGUAUCAUGGCCCUUUAAUGAUGUAACAAGUAUUUUUUUAGUUGUAUAAGGAUAAUUUGACAUAUGUCAGUUUUUGUUUUAUUUGCUUUUUUGCUUCUUUUUUCUUCCCUUCUAAUGUUGUAUGAUCAAAUUGGAAAUAGCAGAAUAAUUUGAUAUAUGUCUGUUCCUGUUAUAACUUAGAAGACUCCAUUGUAAUACUGAAGGCUAUGAUAUGAGCAUAGAUUAAUUAUAUAAAGAAGAAUUAUGUUAAAAGGAACUUUAUUCAAUGAUGUAACAUUUCAAUUCUUAGGUGUAUAAGGAUAAUUUGACAUAUAUCUGUUCUUAAUUUACUUGCUCCUUUUCUUUUCAAUGUUGUAUGUACAAUUAAAUUAGCAGAUCACUGCUAUUUGAAAAUAAAUAAAAAGAAAAAAAAACAUCACUGUCUAACUGUGAAAAACUGUCAAAAUGCAAUGAGAUAAGAGGCAUUUCAACAGCUUAGAAUCAGCUAUGAGCGUACCUAGGUUUAGCUUUCAACAAAGAAUACCAAAAGAACAAAGCAAAUUUGAUGAAAAAAGUAUAUUGGAAAGUUGUUAAAAAAUGGCAUGCACCAUCUGAAUCAUGAAAGUCUGAUUUUGACUUGACUGUCCCUUUAACCAGUAGUGUGUAACUGUAGAUAUGUAGCAGGGUUAGCCAUGAUAAGUCUGCAAUGCUCACAUUAGGUUCUGUCAGUUAGAAAAUCCAUGAUUUCCAGAACUGUAUUAUCAUUUGAAAUGGGGCAAAAUAAAUGAUGAAAGUAUACUGCAAAAUAUAGUGCAAACAUUUAAAUUAAAAACUGAAGAUGUUUACUCUCCCUUUAAUAAUAUGCCUGUUGAAUGCUAAGCAAAAAAAAGUGCACAGGGUGAUAGUUGUUUUAAUCUUCUAUACUGCUGAUUUAAACUUAUGUUAGCUGAACACAAUUACUUCCUAUAUUACGUACAAUAUCUACUAUUAAUUCAGAUAACCAAACAAAAGCAGCAGAGAAAUAUAGACUGAUUUUAAAAAUAUUUAUUUAAUUCCAAUAACAUCUGCAUAAAAAAUGAAUAAAUAGAUGCAAAUGGUUAUCAUAAAUAAUUUAGAAAUCCAGAUAAUGCAAUAUACAUGGCUACAUAAAUAUCUGCAUUUUACAAAUGCUAGUUUUGUUGUUCAGUUUACCACUGUUAUUUAGUGAACCAAUACACAAUGAAAAGGAUCGGCAAUGCACCUUUCACUGGAGAUUUUCUUUAGAUCCUUUCUGGUCUGACGCAAGUGCAGCCAACAGUUACUAACAUCUUCUCUAAUUUAAAAAUGUUGUUGCACCCUUUUAGCUCCCGACGGAGAACCAGCAUCUCCUGAUUGAUUUCAACAGAAUUCAUACUGAGGUCCAAAUUACCAUUGGAGUCCACACAAGCGUUAUGGUUGCAACUGGCUUGAGCGAUGACUGGAGGAAAUCUGUUGUGAUCCUUAAGCAAGCUGAUUGCCCAGUGAUAUUCAGGCUGACCUUAGCUGCUGUAGGAAACUUUAUAUCCUUCAGUGGACAUCCUUUGAGAUGAUGAAGGGCCACUCCAUGAACAGAGACCAUCAUGCGGGUUCCUAGAACAAGUAUCACUAGGGUGGUGUGAAACUAGAAGAAGGAGAAAUACGGAUAUAUUAGUUCUUUCUAGCUCACUGGCUUCCUUCUUUUUCUCACUGAAACUUCAAAAAGCAGUAAAAAAAUAUAUUUAUUUCCA